RNAcentral lists this ribosomal RNA (1721 nucleotides) under Decapterus macarellus (mackerel scad). Its description in RNAcentral is "16S ribosomal RNA". It matches the Rfam family "Bacterial large subunit ribosomal RNA". The record is from RNAcentral. Lineage: Eukaryota; Metazoa; Chordata; Actinopteri; Carangiformes; Carangidae.
CGCCUAUUAGCUAGCUCCACACACCAAACGCAACAAACAAACAUAAACUAAACCCAAAAACACCAGAUUAUCCUUAACCAAAGCAUUUUCCCUCCUAAGUAUGGGCGACAGAAAAGGACCUCAAGGACGCAAUAGAGAAAGUACCGCAAGGGAAAGCUGAAAGAGAAAUGAAAUAAACCAGUAAAGCCAAAAAAAGCAGAGAUAUCCCCUCGUACCUUUUGCAUCAUGAUUUAGCCAGCAUCUUCAAGCAAAAAGAGUUUUAGUUUGAAAUCCCGAAACUGCGUGAGCUACUCCAAGACAGCCUAUUUAUUAGGGCAAACCCGUCUCUGUGGCAAAAGAGUGGGAAGAGCUUUGAGUAGGGGUGACAGACCUAUCGAACCCAGUUAUAGCUGGUUGCCCGGGAAUUGGAUAGAAGUUCAGCCUCGCCGUUUCUCCCUUCAUAUUAUUUUUAACCACCCAAUGAUUCCAGAGAAACUACGAGAGUUAGUCAAAGGGGGUACAGCCCCUUUGAACAAAGACACAACUUUUUCAGGAGGAUAAAGAUCAUAGUUUUUAAGGCAAAAUGUUCCGGUGGGCCUAAAAGCAGCCAUCCCAGUAGAAAGCGUUAAAGCUCGAACAUAACUUGACCCUCCCCAUAUCUUGAUAUUUAUAUCUCAAUCCCCUAACACUACCGGGCCUCCCCAUGCUUCCAUGGGGGCGACCCUGCUAGAAUGAGUAAUAAGAGAGCCCGACUCUCUCCCAACACACGUGUAUAUCGGAACGGACCCACCACCGAAAAAUAACGGCCCCAAACAAAGAGGGCACUGGACCUAUACGCAAACAAACUAGAAGAUCGUCCUAAUACAACCGUUAACCCCACACUGGUGUGCUUCCUGGGAAAGACCAAAAGAAAGAGAAGGAACUCGGCAAACAUAAACUUAUAAGCCUCGCCUGUUUACCAAAAACAUCGCCUCUUGCAAAACCAAAGAAUAAGAGGUCCCGCCUGCCCAGUGACAAUAGUUCAACGGCCGCGGUAUUUUGACCGUGCGAAGGUAGCGUAAUCACUUGUCUUUUAAAUGAAGACCUGUAUGAAUGGCAUAACGAGGGCUUAACUGUCUCCUCUUUCCAGUCAAUGAAAUUGAUCUCUCCGUGCAGAAGCGGAGAUAAGUACAUAAGACGAGAAGACCCUAUGGAGCUUUAGACACUAAGACAGAUCAUGUUAAACAUCCCGCAAAUGACGGCCUAAACUUAAUGAUACCCUGUCCUAAUGUCUUCGGUUGGGGCGACCAUGGGGAAGCACAAAUCCCCCAUGUGGAAUAGGAGGACAAUCCCAUAUUAUUUUCCUCUCCUCCCACAAGCAAGAGCUACAACUCUAGCUAACAGAACAUUUGACCUUACAUGAUCCGGCUCACGCCGAUCAACGGACCAAGUUACCCUAGGGAUAACAGCGCAAUCCCCUUUUAGAGCCCAUAUCGACAAGGGGGUUUACGACCUCGAUGUUGGAUCAGGACAUCCUAAUGGUGCAGCCGCUAUUAAGGGUUCGUUUGUUCAACGAUUAAAGUCCUACGUGAUCUGAGUUCAGACCGGAGUAAUCCAGGUCAGUUUCUAUCUAUGAAGUGAUCUUUUCUAGUACGAAAGGACCGAAAAGAAGAGGCCCAUGCCCUAAGCACGCCUCCCCCUUACCUAAUGAAAGAAUCUAAACUAGGCAAAAGGGCACGUCCCUCUGCCUAAGAGAAUGGCAU